Molecule: transfer RNA, 72 nt
Filed under: Camelus bactrianus (Bactrian camel)
Lineage: Eukaryota; Metazoa; Chordata; Mammalia; Artiodactyla; Camelidae
Also listed under: 2 other names
Rfam family: tRNA
About the family: Transfer RNA (tRNA) molecules are approximately 80 nucleotides in length. Their secondary structure includes four short double-helical elements and three loops (D, anti-codon, and T loops).
Source: Rfam by way of RNAcentral
GGGGGUAUAGCUCAAUGGUAGAGCGUAUGCUUGGUGUGUAUGGGGUCCUGGGUUCGAUCCCCAGUGCCUCUG